CUACGGGAGGCAGCAGUGGGGAAUCUUGCACAAUGGGGGAAACCCUGAUGCAGCGACGCCGCGUGAACGAAGAAGCCUUUCGGGGUGUAAAGUUCUUUCGGCAGGGACGAUAAUGACUGUACCUGCAGAAGCAGCUGCGGCUAACUACGUGCCAGCAGCCGCGGUAAUACGUAGGCAGCAAGCGUUGUUCGGAAUUACUGGGCGUAAAGAGUGCGUAGGUGGUUGGCCAAGUUUGGUGUGAAAUCUCCCGGCUCAACUGGGAGGGUGCGCCGAAAACUGGCUGGCUAGAGUGUGGGAGAGGGAAGCGGAAUUCCUGGUGUAGCGGUGAAAUGCGUAGAUAUCAGGAGGAACGCCUGCGGUGUAGACGGCUUCCUGGACCAUGACUGACACUGAGGCACGAAAGCGUGGGUAGCAAACAGGAUUAGAUACCCCUGUAGUCC
This 440-nucleotide ribosomal RNA is filed under the name uncultured bacterium. Its description in RNAcentral is "bacterial SSU rRNA". It matches the Rfam family "Bacterial small subunit ribosomal RNA", at positions 339 to 796 of the family's 1533-position model. The record is from RNAcentral.